UAAAACAUCUUUCUGUAGUGUGUCGGGUC
This 29-nucleotide small RNA is filed under the name Bombyx mori (domestic silkworm). RNAcentral describes it as "ovarian small RNA-5528". Lineage: Eukaryota; Metazoa; Arthropoda; Insecta; Lepidoptera; Bombycidae. The record is from RNAcentral.